GGCUGAGUAAUGCAUAGGAACGUACCCCAAACUGAGGGAUAAGCCACCGAAAGGUGGUCUGAUACCGCAUGUGCUCUUCGGAGUAAAGCUACGGCGGUUUGGGAGCGGCCUAUGUUCGAUUAGCUUGUUGGUGAGGUAAAGGCUCACCAAGGCGACGAUCGAUAGCGGGUCUGAGAGGAUGAUCCGCCAGACUGGAACUGAGACACGGUCCAGACUCCUACGGGAGGCAGCAGUAGGGAAUUUUCCACAAUGGGGGCAACCCUGAUGGAGCAACGCCGCGUGCAGGAUGAAGGCCCUCGGGUCGUAAACUGCUUUUCUCUGUGAUGAUUAUGACAGUAGCAGAGGAAUAAGGAUCGGCUAACUCCGUGCCAGCAGCCGCGGUCAUACGGAGGAUCCAAGCGUUAUCCGGAAUUACUGGGCGUAAAGAGUUGCGUAGGCGGUCUUGUAAGCAGGGCAUGAAAUAGUGUGGCUCAACCAUACUGCUAUGUUCUGAACUGCAAGACUAGAGGAUGAGAGAGGUUAUUGGGAAUUCCCAGUGUAGGAGUGAAAUCCGUAGAUAUUGGGAGGAACACCGAUGGCGUAGGCAGAUAACUGGCUCAUUCCUGACGCUCAGGCACGAAUGCGUGGGUAGCAAACGGGAUUAGAUACCCCGGUAGUCCACGCCGUAAACUAUGGAUGCUAGCUGUACACCGUAUCGACCCGGUGUGUAGCGAAGCUAACGCGUUAAGCAUCCCGCCUGUGGAGUACGAGCGCAAGCUUAAAACAUAAAGGAAUUGACGGGGACCCGCACAAGCGGUGGAGCGUGUUGUUUAAUUCGAUGGUAAACGAAGAACCUUACCAAGGCUUGAAAUCCUGAGAAGUUCUGCGAAAGCAGAGUGUGCCUUUUGGAACUCAGUGACAGGUGUUGCAUGGCCGUCGUCAGCUCGUGUCGUGAGAUGUUGGGUUAAGUCCCGCAACGAGCGCAACCCCUAUGUUUAGUUGAAUUUUUCUAGACAGACUGCCCUGGUAACAGGGAGGAAGGAGGGGAUGAUGUCAGGUCAGUAUUACCCUUACGCCUUGGGCUACAAACACGCUACAAUGGCCAGUACAAAGGGUCGCCAAGGCGCGAGCCGGAGCUAAUCCCAUCAAAACUGGUCUCAGUUCGGAUUGCAGGCUGAAACUCGCCUGCAUGAAGCUGGAAUCGCUAGUAAUCGCAGAUCAGAAUGCUGCGGUGAAU
Molecule: ribosomal RNA, 1216 nt
Filed under: uncultured bacterium
Lineage: Bacteria
Description: bacterial SSU rRNA
Rfam family: Bacterial small subunit ribosomal RNA
Source: RNAcentral